CACCGCGGUCACACAAGAGACCCAAAUUAACUGUAACGCGGCGUAAAGAGUGGCACCAUGCUAUCACAGUAACUAGGAUCAAAGUGUAACUGAGCUGUCAUAAGCUUAAGAUACACCUAAAACCACCCUAAACAUGAUCCUAGCUCUUGCGAUCGAUUAAAUGUCACGAAAGCUAGGGUA
Molecule: ribosomal RNA, 180 nt
Filed under: Pelecanus onocrotalus
Lineage: Eukaryota; Metazoa; Chordata; Aves; Pelecaniformes; Pelecanidae
Description: partial 12S rRNA
Source: RNAcentral